Non-coding RNA from Podarcis lilfordi (Lilford's wall lizard), 74 nucleotides. Lineage: Eukaryota; Metazoa; Chordata; Lepidosauria; Squamata; Lacertidae. The record is from the annotation of a GenBank genome assembly.
GAAGGGGCUAUAGCUCAAUGGUAGAGCAUAUGCUUUCCAUGUGGCAGGUCUAGGUUCAAUCCCUGACGUCUUCA